Molecule: long non-coding RNA, 1378 nt
Organism: Armigeres subalbatus
Lineage: Eukaryota; Metazoa; Arthropoda; Insecta; Diptera; Culicidae
Exons: 4
Source: RefSeq, a predicted model, not a curated record
UAUCGGUAUUCAGCCUUUGUGACGUCACGUAAUCCUUUCCUUCCCCUUGCAGCGGGUUUGUCGAUUUACGCGUACUCGUUUUUGAGACAGCGGUGUCGUGUUUCGUGUGUCCUGGGAAAGUGGAAUUGUAAAAAGGUCAAAGUGUGGUUGAAUAAAAGCAAUAUUUCUACAUUUUUAGUCUCACUUCGUGUCUAGAUAGAUAAGGUAGAAAGAAAGGAAAUCCGAUUACUCUUCAGUCUGAUUACUGCUACGUAGAAUAGCAUCAAACGAAACGUGAAAGUUCAUCAACUAUUUGCUGAUUCAGUGCGAGUCAUUUCAGUGGAAAACCCAGUUAAAGCAGAAAAGCAUAAGCCAAUUGCAAAUGAUUUUAUAAAAUAGUAAAAAGAAGAAAAGUGAAGAAAAAUUGGAUUCAUCCGGAACAAAGGAAUCCAAGCAAGAGUGUGCGCCCGUUCCGCGACGUUGGGGUGGGAAUCGAAUCGAAGUAGCCCGGAUCGGUUGGUACCUUCCAGUAGUGGAUUGAAUCGAAAGUGAUUACUCACGAAUCGGUGAGCUGGCUUGACGGUGAAGUUUCGCUGAAUAGCGACCGAGAAAACCGGAAACCGGAAGUGAUGUGGCAGCUGCACCGGCAGCCGAUGAUAGUGAGCAAUUACGACACCAGAGCUAGAAUGUAAAAUAGUGCAUAGUGAGAUAGUGCACCGGCGGAAGGCUGCGUUAGGUGGAUAGCGUUGCGCUUUGUGAACUGACGGUAUGAUGACGCACCGGAAGAAGAACUUUGGCUGAGUAGUUUGGCGGGAGCUGUAAAACGCAUUUUCUUUUUGAAUAAACUUUUUGUGUCCAACCUACGGCGUUCGCCGUCGUUCGUUAGCGUCGUGGAUCCGUGUCGAACGCCACGCUGCAGCGCUUAACUAUUGCUGCAGCAACAACCAUCACGACGACGCGACGGAAAGCUCCAACCGACCAGGGGUGGAUAUGGUGGUGAUAUCUAACCACCCGGGCACGUAUUGCUGCAUUCGAAAAGUGCUUGCUCACGACGACACGGGGAUGACACAUGCGGCUGUUGCUGCUGCUGCUACCUUCACGAUGCGAUACCAAGUCGGUUUUGUGCAGUUUGGUGCCCAGAGGCACCAUUACGGUUGAAUGUCGUAUCUUAUCUCGGGCACUUCAAUUUCAACUUCGGAAAUUAAACCUGGAGGGAGAUAGACGUUUUCAAUGGUAGAAUGGAUAUAGGAACAUAUGGAGUACUAAUUGGAGAAACUUUGCUAUCAGGCGUUUUUCAUAACAUACAAAUAGAAACCAGUGUAUGGAUUGAAUUUAUUUAAAUUCAAUACAAAUGAAAUCAAUUAUUAAUAAGAAAAGCGUAAAAAAUACAAUCAAGUGA